This is a long non-coding RNA of Notolabrus celidotus (New Zealand spotty), 1669 nucleotides long. RefSeq lists it as uncharacterized. The transcript has 3 exons. NCBI's taxonomy places the organism in Eukaryota, Metazoa, Chordata, Actinopteri, Labriformes, Labridae. The record is from RefSeq and is a predicted model, not a curated record.
GUGUUCCAUGUGAUUUUACCUUUUAUCAGCCCUUGCUCCUUGCAUAAUUCUCUUCAUGGCUCCUUGUGAUUUCACCUUUGGACCUUGUUUUUAUUUUUCCUUUGGAUGUUUUAUCCCUUGGACUCUGAGCACACUUGCAGCCUUUUCCAACUAUGAAGAGGAUGAUAAAAAAUAGAAGAGCAUUUGGACAUUUGUCUCUUUUUCCUGGCCCUUGGACUGCGAUCACCGUCUGAGAUUCCUUUUUCAGCCUCUGAAGUCCAGCCACCAAACGAGGAAGGAGACAAAAAGAAGGGGAUAAAACACAGUCACUUCUGGCUACAGGAGACAAGUUGGCUUCCACCAUAAUGCCAAUUUUUGUGGUCUUUAUAUUGGCAGUCCAUCAGGAGAUGGAUGACCUUUUGGUGACUACAUCCACUUUUUAUUCAGUCUGAGAGAAACUUGGAUUUACGAUACUCUGAUGCUGAAGGCUAAAUAGAAAUGAAAGGUGAUUGUUUAAACCUUGACUACACUCGGCUGAGGUCUUCCACAGAACACUUUCUGGAUUAAGAAAGUUUAUCUUCCCUGAGCAGGGCUCGUGACAUUUCCUCUGUCUCCUGUUGGCAGUACAGGUUCAGUCUUUUUGCCUCUCUCUAGUUUGAAAGAUACUGAUUCCACAUGACAUGAUUGAACUUUGACAGCAAAGGAAAGAAAUAUUCCUCGAGCACGUAAGAGGUGAUACGCGUAUGACGGCUCUGUGAUGCUUGAUAUGUAACCUGUAGGCAGUUUACCAUUCAGCUAUUCACCAUCUUCACACUGCUGCCCUUUUCCUUUACUCUCAAACCUAAUGUGGGGAUCCUUAGAUGCUGUUAUCAUCACUUACUGCUUUGCUCAAAGUUAGUUAAUCAAUACAAACAUGAGCUGUAGCUAUAGCACGUUGUACAAGUCAUAAAAUGCCUUAUAUAAUACGUCUGGCAAAUCUGGAACAAAGCAGUGUCUCAUUUAAACCUAGAACACUAUCGUCGGGUGAUUUCACCCACGCGAUUGUAUUCAUGUGAUUUUCAUUAUGUUGUUGAUGUCUGACUUGCAUGGGUCCUUAUAGGUAGCUUCUACUACAGUCUGCUCACUGACGUCAUCAGAGGUAGGCGUGUUUUCCGGUUUCAAUCUCUGUUUUUUCAGUAGCCCAGUGUUUGGGUGACUUUCACCCAACGUUAGUGGUUAAGUAUACAAUAUUUUUGGGUGGAUUUUACCUGACGUUAGUGUUUAAUUGAAUUAAUCAAUCUUAUUACUUCUCAAGGGGGACAAUGUUCCAACCACUUUAUUUAAUGCCCCAUAUCAUGCACAGCUAUCACCCCUGAGGUAUGCUGACUGUCCCAAAGGCUCGGACAGGAAGGCAAGACACAUGUGUCAUGUCUACUGAGCUGCCUGUACCGACUGUAUGUAAGGCAAAGGGUAAGUUAGAGUCGUCCUGGAAUUUACAUGUAAUCCUCAUUUAGUGUAAUGGUUAUGAAUAAAUAACACUUAGUGGUAAUGUCCAAGGGAAUUCAUAUGGUCAAACACAUUUUAUAGUCCCCUCUCAAAGAAAUUUCCAUUUUUGUAUUAUCUCUCCCACACUGGUCAGUCAUGCAGGGAGACUGUGCCUUCACCGGACAAGGCUCAAAUGUCUGAGAAAUGGGUGGACCAAAGAACAAGA